Molecule: long non-coding RNA, 589 nt
Organism: Carassius auratus (goldfish)
Lineage: Eukaryota; Metazoa; Chordata; Actinopteri; Cypriniformes; Cyprinidae
Exons: 4
Source: RefSeq, a predicted model, not a curated record
CUGAAUCAAGAGCAGGUUUAAAGUCCCAGCCAAACCCGUUGGUCAGAUUAAAGAAGGAGACUGCUGGAGGAGCUGGGGAUAACGCUGGUUGAUCGGACUCCAUUCCCAUUACUCCCACUGUCCACAGAUCCUACCUCCAGCCUGGAGUAGCGUAUCAGUCCCGGGAAGGAUCUGAAGAGAUUAUUACAGGAGAGUGAAUACAUGGAUGAUGGUAACUGUGAGACAGAUCUGUGCUCGCUUAUAGAAUCCCUGACCUGCUAUAGUUCCAGGAGACUCCAAAGGCUCAAGCUAAAACUGCAGAAAUGAUGGAGGAAGAUGAGGAAACAAAGAAGCACAAAGUUCUUGUGGAGAAACCUCUGCACCCACAAGGAGACGUGGUCAGUGUGUAAAUUGAUUAAGAGCUUAGAUGUAGCAUUUUAAAAUGUAGAUGUUUUAUGGGUGAAGUGUCACAGCAUCCUCGUAUUAUGAAGUUAAGAAUAUUAAAAGCCGCUUUCAAUCUUUUGAAUGACCCCAGGAUUGAGCCUGCUCUGAAAAAUGCCACAUGCUGCUUAAAAAAAGUAAUUAAUAACAAACUAAUCAACCUUUCACU